UACGGAGGGUGCAAGCGUUACCCGGAAUCACUGGGCGUAAAGGGCGUGUAGGCGGCUCGUUCAGUCUGGUUUUAAAGACCGAAGCUCAACUUCGGGCAUGGACUGGAUACUGGCGAGCUAGACGGAUGGAGAGGUCACUGGAAUUCUUGGUGUAGCGGUGGAAUGCGUAGAUACCAAGAGGAACACCGAUGGCGAAGGCAGCCCCCUGGGAUAAUAUUGACGCUCAUGCACGAAAGCGUGGGGAGCAAACAGG
Molecule: ribosomal RNA, 253 nt
Filed under: uncultured bacterium
Lineage: Bacteria
Description: partial 16S ribosomal RNA
Rfam family: Bacterial small subunit ribosomal RNA
Source: RNAcentral